This 858-nucleotide ribosomal RNA is filed under the name uncultured bacterium. RNAcentral's name for it is "bacterial SSU rRNA". It matches the Rfam family "Bacterial small subunit ribosomal RNA", at positions 60 to 914 of the family's 1533-position model. The record is from RNAcentral.
AGUCGAACGGCAGCGCGGGGCAACCUGGCGGCGAGUGGCGAACGGGUGAGUAAUAUAUCGGAACGUACCCAAGAGUGGGGGAUAACGUAGCGAAAGUUACGCUAAUACCGCAUACGAUCUAAGGAUGAAAGUGGGGGAUUCGCAAGAACCUCAUGCUCCUGGAGCGGCCGAUAUCUGAUUAGCUAGUUGGUGAGGUAAAGGCUCACCAAGGCGACGAUCAGUAGCUGGUCUGAGAGGACGACCAGCCACACUGGAACUGAGACACGGUCCAGACUCCUACGGGAGGCAGCAGUGGGGAAUUUUGGACAAUGGGCGCAAGCCUGAUCCAGCAAUGCCGCGUGAGUGAAGAAGGCCUUCGGGUUGUAAAGCUCUUUUGUCAGGGAAGAAACGGUGGAGGCUAAUAUCCUUUGCUAAUGACGGUACCUGAAGAAUAAGCACCGGCUAACUACGUGCCAGCAGCCGCGGUAAUACGUAGGGUGCAAGCGUUAAUCGGAAUUACUGGGCGUAAAGCGUGCGCAGGCGGUUUUGUAAGUCUGUCGUGAAAUCCCCGGGCUCAACCUGGGAAUUGCGAUGGAGACUGCAAGGCUAGAAUCUGGCAGAGGGGGGUAGAAUUCCACGUGUAGCAGUGAAAUGCGUAGAGAUGUGGAGGAACACCGAUGGCGAAGGCAGCCCCCUGGGUCAAGAUUGACGCUCAUGCACGAAAGCGUGGGGAGCAAACAGGAUUAGAUACCCUGGUAGUCCACGCCCUAAACGAUGUCUACUAGUUGUCGGGUCUUAAUUGACUUGGUAACGCAGCUAACGCGUGAAGUAGACCGCCUGGGGAGUACGGUCGCAAGAUUAAAACUCAAAGGAAUUGAC